This is a long non-coding RNA of Lotus japonicus, 1446 nucleotides long. RefSeq lists it as uncharacterized. The transcript is spliced from 6 exons. NCBI's taxonomy places the organism in Eukaryota, Viridiplantae, Streptophyta, Magnoliopsida, Fabales, Fabaceae. The record is from RefSeq and is a predicted model, not a curated record.
UUAUUUCAAAUUCAAAAUUAAGACACUCUUUCUCAUAGUUAUAGACGAAUGAACAUGAUUAAAUCCCACCUCCCAUACUCUCUUAUCAGUGUUUCUCUCACUGUGCUCCCUCACUUCUUCAGGUCGUCUCCUUCACCGUCAAAGACGCAGCCACCGUUAAUCUGCGCCGUCGUCGUCUUUGACCGAAGCAACCCUUUCUUACUCUCAUUACGCAAACAUAUCUCCUUCCUACGCUGAUCUAAACCUGAAACCUUCAUUGGAUCGAACUCUAAAUCUGGCGCGACGUCUUCGGUUUUGGUUCGUGGAGCUCUGUUUCGUGCUUCCACCCUUUUCAUGUUCGGUUCUGCAGUGAAAUUGAGCUGCUGAUUCCGGGCUACAAGUAGUGUCCGACGUCGAGCUCAGGCUUCAAAAGAGAUGGAUCCAUAAGAGAGAUGAUACGCCCAAAGCAAAAAAUGGUGUUUUUGGAAAGAAUGAACAAGACCUGUGCAUCGACCCAUCACAGAGUGAUUAAAAUUAGGGAUGUUAUGGAAGGGGUUAAGAGAAAAGACAUUGAGGAUUAUGAGACAUGGAGACAUGGUGUGAAGAUCAACAAGACCUUGGACAUUGUUGGGCCUUUACUCACUGGAAUUGCUGCAUGAACAGAUUUAAUUUGAUCCUUCUUCAUUAUUGGAUCGCUUCCACCGGUGUGCCUUCACACUUCUUCUUGGUUCAAUUUCAGGUAUGAUUAGUCAUUCAAAUGAUUAUGUUCUACUGCACCAUGAAUGAACUUCACUUUUCUUUCUCACAUAGGAAGCUAUGGAUGGUUAUUCUGUGUGAUGCUGAUAUUCCAGUUAUCAUUGUCUCUUAUUGAAGGAAACUGUUCGAAAUCUUGGGUUAUGGGCAUGUAUUGUCUUUGUGUUUUCUGUUUUUGAUUAUGUUGCAUAUCAAUGUAGUUUUAAUAUAUUGCUCUUGAUAUGUGUUAACAGGUUGAAGGGUCAUCUUUUUAAUGUGUUCAAGGAAUUUACUCGAAUUUAUUAUAAUGCCAGCAGGCUGAUUGUUCUUUAAUGUUCACUGCUUUGUUUAGUGACCAGUUAUUGCAUGGUGGAGCUGAUUGUGGUGUGGAGAGUGACAAUAUUGAUUGGACCACGAAAGAUGAACUUCAUAUUGAAAUCUUUCUGUUUUCAUCUUUAUGUUAAAUAAUUUCUAAUGGAGAAACUAUUACUGGGCGUGGAGAGGCAAGCUUUUAGGUAGUAUAGAGAGAUAGGAAAUUGCAGGGCAUGCCAAUAUGAUAUUGAGCAAUACCGCAACAAGAAAAUCUGGAAUUACAAUGGUGUUUUUGUAGAUCGAAAACCAACACUCUGGGGUGUUUAUGAAACCACAAUUGCUGAGCAGAUGUAUUAAAUUAUAAACUCAAUUUUGAAUAUCAGUUGUUUUAAGUUAUGUUCAAAUCCAUAGAGUUCGUUUGAA